GAUGAACGCUGGCGGCGUGCCUAAUACAUGCAAGUCGAGCGAACAGACGAGGCGUUUGCUCCUCUGACGUUAGCCGCGGACGGGUGUGUAACAUGUGUAUAACCCACUUAUAAGACUGGGAUCACCUCGGGAAACCGGAUCUUACCCCGGAUAAUCUAUUGAACCGUAGGGUUCAAUAGUGAAAGUCGGCUUUUCUGUCUCUUAUAGAUGGAUCCGGGCCGCUUUAGCUGGUUGGUACGGUCACGGCUUACCAAGGCGACGAUGCGUAGCCGACCUGAGAGAGGGAUCGGCCGCACUGGAGCUGAGACACGGUCCAGACGCCUGCGGGAGGCAGCAGUAGGGAAUCUGCCGCAGUAGGCGAGAGCCUGGCGGAGCGACGCCACGUGAGUGGUAGAGGUCUUCGGAGCGUGAAACUCUGUUAUUGGGGAAGAACAAAUGUGUAAGGAACUAUGCACGUCUUGACGGUACCGAGUCAGAAAGCCACGGCUAACUACGUG
Molecule: ribosomal RNA, 497 nt
Filed under: uncultured bacterium
Lineage: Bacteria
Description: partial 16S ribosomal RNA
Rfam family: Bacterial small subunit ribosomal RNA
Source: RNAcentral